Molecule: long non-coding RNA, 418 nt
Filed under: Numida meleagris (helmeted guineafowl)
Lineage: Eukaryota; Metazoa; Chordata; Aves; Galliformes; Numididae
Description: lncRNA (ENSNMEG00000008826.1)
Source: RNAcentral
GCCAGCAGUCCUGCUUUUUGAUUUGUGAAAUUACUUAUCUUCUUUGAAGUGGAAGAGAUAGUACACUAAAGUUCCAUGGUGGCAAAACUGCUUGUGGUUCAUCCAACUGCUGUCACAUUUCACAAUGGCAAGAUCAGUCAGAGAAGAGCUCAGCAGAGCUGAAUGCUUACAGAAGACAAACAGCUAUUCAGCGCAUCUGCCAAUGACUUCAGUGUUUCUCUACAAGGCUACCUGAAGUGCAGAAUGUCAUCUCAACAGUAUGCAUAUGUUAGAAGAUAUAGGCAGGAUUUCAUUCUUUAGUGUUCUAGAUGGAAAAAGUUUUAAAGGACCUGACUCAGAGUUUGUCUUCCUCUUCCUACAAAGUUAAAGGAGAUCAUUCUCGAAUAAUAAAACUGUAAAUUCACAUUUGGAUAUAGCA